Sitodiplosis mosellana (orange wheat blossom midge) is the source of this 480-nucleotide long non-coding RNA. RefSeq lists it as uncharacterized. NCBI's taxonomy places the organism in Eukaryota, Metazoa, Arthropoda, Insecta, Diptera, Cecidomyiidae. The transcript has 2 exons. The record is from RefSeq and is a predicted model, not a curated record.
UUCAGUUCGUAACUGUUAUUUCAGUGGAAGAUCGUGUUAUUCAUAAGCUAAAAAUGAAUUCGAAAGUGUGCUUUGCUGUCAUUCUACUUCUUGGCAUUGCUUUGCGCAAUAGCAGUGUCGAGGCAGUCAGCCAGUCAAUCAGUGAGAACUCUGGUUUAGCUGCUACUUCUGAACGAAUGAGAGUUCGACGUAGUGCUCGUUUACCUUGCGAAAACAGUAGAUGCACAUUCGCUUGCAUGGGUGCAGGCUCAAGUGGUGGUAGCUGUGUGAAUGAUAAUCUUUGCUGGUGCUUUAAUGGCAAUUGUGAUCAGGGAAAAUGUUUUUCUUCUUGCAUGAGUCAGUAUUUGAUUCGAUUUGAUUGCUCAGUUCGGAAAAUGGAAAAGAAUUUUCGUGAAUCAUUGCUGCUAUAACAAUCACUGCAGGCAACAGUCCAUGCUAGCGAUCGAAGCAUAAAUAAAUCAAAAAUUAGUCGAGCCAAAA